This 186-nucleotide long non-coding RNA is filed under the name Bos mutus (wild yak). RNAcentral's name for it is "lncRNA (ENSBMUG00000006064.1)". Lineage: Eukaryota; Metazoa; Chordata; Mammalia; Artiodactyla; Bovidae. The record is from RNAcentral.
AAACUGCGAAAUCUGACCAGAAGCCCUUAGCCUCCCAGGCUCUGUAGCUUCUGCAGUGAUGAGGCCUGGCCACCAGAUGGCUCCACAGAGGCCACUGCUCUCUCAGGGAAGAGGAGGGAGUAAGAAGGAAGCCGAGGCUAUCAUCAACAAGCCUGCCUUUCGGAUCCUGCAGGAAAAACCCAUGUA